This is an RNA transcript of Glycine soja, 1918 nucleotides long. It is a transcript of the gene named yrdC domain-containing protein, mitochondrial-like, with no coding region annotated. The transcript is spliced from 5 exons. NCBI's taxonomy places the organism in Eukaryota, Viridiplantae, Streptophyta, Magnoliopsida, Fabales, Fabaceae. The record is from RefSeq and is a predicted model, not a curated record.
UGAGUAUUUUCCCGAACAUAUAAUGGUUGAAACUCGAAACUUGAAAACUUGAAAGUGAGAGAGUUGAAGGAACAAAACGUGUGUCUUACAAGAUUUCAGUAGUGACUAUGGAGCAGAGCAUUGGUGAACGCAGGUUAGCAUACGAUGAAUGUUUCUACGCAAGGACUGCUUAUCCUCAACGCUCGCUUCUCUUCCAAUUUCUCCUUCCGAGGUGCUCUUUAGUCACAACCGUUGGUUUCUCAGGUUGUCGGUUUUUCCACCUUCGCAACAGUGUGAAGGGCCGAGAAGGGGUUUCUCUAAAAACAUGUCUUGCAGUGUCAGUGUGGAUAAUUCUGAUAUGGUUCAUCCAGCCACAGAUGCUUAUGCUGGAGAGGCAGUUGAAGCUUUGAAAGCUGGGAAACAGUGGUGGCUGUGGGUUUACUGUCUUGUUUUUCAAUUGUACAUGUUUGAAAAUUAAAAGUCAAGCUACAAGAUAACAUUGACCGAUAAACAGAAUCUUUCUUCUUGUAUAAAACACCAUAGUAUAGUGUUGAGUAAGAAUGAUGUUGUAACUGCACCACUACACUAGUGAAAUUUCAAUGAGUUUCAGUAUUUAUAUUUUAUAAGUCUAGAGAUUGUCAAGCCUCUCUUGUGCAGAGCGUUGUGUGGCCGCUUGCUGUUGGUUCUAUUUGAUUCGAAGUGGACUAUAUAACUGUUAUAGCCUUUACCAUUUAUUUUGUUUUAAUUUGUGGGCCUAAUAUUCAGUUAUUCAAAAUAUUUCCCAGCAAAAUAGUGUGUAAUUAUAAAAAAGAGUCGAUAAAGUUUAUCUUCAAAGACUGUUUAUUGCAGUCCUCCAUGAAAGAAAGCAGAUAAAUAAUUGCUUUAUGAUAUAUCAUAUCACAUAGGUUUUGAUAAGAUAUCAAUUUUUCUACAUAGACAUCAGAUGUGAGAAAAGUUAGCUCCACACUAUACCCAUCCUUCUGAAUGCCCACAUUAUACCCACAUAGAAAUAAGUUGUGUUUUAAUCAAAGAUGUUUAAAAUUUCGUUCGCACUCCAGUCUCCACAUAUUUAGACCUACCUUGUGUCUCUCCCAAUUGCAUACCGAAUGAUUGAUGAUUACCUGUUACCUUCUUUGUGGCAUGUUGGCAGCUCAUUGGAAGCAGUUAACAGAAUUUACGAGAUUAAAGGCCGUAGACAUACAAGCCCUCUGGCUAUUUGUGUUGGUGAUGUAUCAGAUAUAGCCCGUUUUGCUGUCACUGACCAUUUACCUCAUGGUCUGCUUGAUUGCCUCCUACCUGGGCCUGUUAUAGUUGUACUAAAACGUGGAGUCAAGUAUUCUUGAACGAUCUUUGAACCCAGGAUUUGAUAGUAUAGGAGUUAGAGUGCCUGAUUGCAAUUUCAUCAGGAUCAUUGCCUGUGGUUCAGGAACUGCCCUAGCCCUUACCAGUGCAAACCUAAGUGGCCAGUCAAGUACUCUUUCCAUCAAAGAUUUUGAGAACCUCUGGGAACAUUGCUUUUGUUUAUGAUGGUGGUUUGAUUCCAUCAAGUCUCGCAGGUUCAACGGUUGUGGACCUCACCACACCACACAAAUACAAAAUACUUAGACCUGGAAGUGCAAAGGAAGAGACAGUUGCCAUCUUGGAGAAGCAUUCUUUGGUUGAGGCAGAGACCUCUUAAACAAGUUGUGAUUCAUUUGCAGUGUCACAUUCUAGCUAGGCCUAAUGUUUCACUUGCAAAAGAACAAUUCUUUCGCUUGGACAUGUGAUGUGAGAAGCUAUCACCCAGGCUAAUUAUUUCCAUUGACUGUUUACAUGUUACUUCCCAGAGGAUCUCUAGGAUGCAUGAAACAAUGCGUUAAUGGUCCUUGUGCUUCAAUUAAGCUAUUCUAUUUUAUUUCCAUUAAAGCAUUAGCAUGGCAAUACAUUCAUAUAAAACUUC